UGUGUGUUAGUGGAAGCGUCUGGAAAGGCGCGCGAUACAGGGUGACAGCCCCGUACACAAAAAUGCACAUGCUGUGAGCUCGAUGAGUAGGGCGGGACACGUGGUAUCCUGUCUGAAUAUGGGGGGACCAUCCUCCAAGGCUAAAUACUCCUGACUGACCGAUAGUGAACCAGUACCGUGAGGGAAAGGCGAAAAGAACCCCGGCGAGGGGAGUGAAAAAGAACCUGAAACCGUGUACGUACAAGCAGUGGGAGCACGCUUAGGCGUGUGACUGCGUACCUUUUGUAUAAUGGGUCAGCGACUUAUAUUCUGUAGCAAGGUUAACCGAAUAGGGGAGCCGAAGGGAAACCGAGUCUUAACUGGGCGUUAAGUUGCAGGGUAUAGACCCGAAACCCGGUGAUCUAGCCAUGGGCAGGUUGAAGGUUGGGUAACACUAACUGGAGGACCGAACCGACUAAUGUUGAAAAAUUAGCGGAUGACUUGUGGCUGGGGGUGAAAGGCCAAUCAAACCGGGAGAUAGCUGGUUCUCCCCGAAAGCUAUUUAGGUAGCGCCUCGUGAAUUCAUCUCCGGGGGUAGAGCACUGUUUCGGCAAGGGGGUCAUCCCGACUUACCAACCCGAUGCAAACUGCGAAUACCGGAGAAUGUUAUCACGGGAGACACACGGCGGGUGCUAACGUCCGUCGUGAAGAGGGAAACAACCCAGACCGCCAGCUAAGGUCCCAAAGUCAUGGUUAAGUGGGAAACGAUGUGGGAAGGCCCAGACAGCCAGGAUGUUGGCUUAGAAGCAGCCAUCAUUUAAAGAAAGCGUAAUAGCUCACUGGUCGAGUCGGCCUGCGCGGAAGAUGUAACGGGGCUAAACCAUGCACCGAAGCUGCGGCAGCGACGCUUAUGCGUUGUUGGGUAGGGGAGCGUUCUGUAAGCCUGUGAAGGUGUGCUGUGAGGCAUGCUGGAGGUAUCAGAAGUGCGAAUGCUGACAUAAGUAACGAUAAAGCGGGUGAAAAGCCCGCUCGCCGGAAGACCAAGGGUUCCUGUCCAACGUUAAUCGGGGCAGGGUGAGUCGACCCCUAAGGCGAGGCCGAAAGGCGUAGUCGAUGGGAAACAGGUUAAUAUUCCUGUACUUGGUGUUACUGCGAAGGGGGGACGGAGAAGGCUAUGUUGGCCGGGCGACGGUUGUCCCGGUUUAAGCGUGUAGGCUGGUUUUCCAGGCAAAUCCGGAAAAUCAAGGCUGAGGCGUGAUGACGAGGCACUACGGUGCUGAAGCAACAAAUGCCCUGCUUCCAGGAAAAGCCUCUAAGCAUCAGGUAACAUCAAAUCGUACCCCAAACCGACACAGGUGGUCAGGUAGAGAAUACCAAGGCGCUUGAGAGAACUCGGGUGAAGGAACUAGGCAAAAUGGUGCCGUAACUUCGGGAGAAGGCACGCUGAUAUGUAGGUGAAGUCCCUCGCGGAUGGAGCUGAAAUCAGUCGAAGAUACCAGCUGGCUGCAACUGUUUAUUAAAAACACAGCACUGUGCAAACACGAAAGUGGACGUAUACGGUGUGACGCCUGCCCGGUGCCGGAAGGUUAAUUGAUGGGGUCAGCGCAAGCGAAGCUCUUGAUCGAAGCCCCGGUAAACGGCGGCCGUAACUAUAACGGUCCUAAGGUAGCGAAAUUCCUUGUCGGGUAAGUUCCGACCUGCACGAAUGGCGUAAUGAUGGCCAGGCUGUCUCCACCCGAGACUCAGUGAAAUUGAACUCGCUGUGAAGAUGCAGUGUACCCGCGGCAAGACGGAAAGACCCCGUGAACCUUUACUAUAGCUUGACACUGAACAUUGAGCCUUGAUGUGUAGGAUAGGUGGGAGGCUU
Molecule: ribosomal RNA, 1846 nt
Filed under: Escherichia coli
Lineage: Bacteria; Pseudomonadati; Pseudomonadota; Gammaproteobacteria; Enterobacterales; Enterobacteriaceae
Description: partial 23S ribosomal RNA
Rfam family: Bacterial large subunit ribosomal RNA
Source: RNAcentral